CAGCAAGAGUUGAGAGGAGGCAGAUGGCUUCCAUCCCAGAAAUCGCUCUCCUCUUUCCAUCCCUACAGAGAGGGACAGAGAGGCAAAGUUCCUUGCAUCCCCGGGGCGCUGUCCCUGUGAGCUCCCGGUGUCCUGCAAACGUUGGCCCCUGAAUCACCGGGCCAGUGUGUGUGGGAUGGGGCUGCGUAGCCAGGCUGGCCUCCUGGGGUUCACUUUCUGCUUUCCUACCCCAACUCUUCCUGUGUGGCUUUGCUGGCCUUCCACUGGGGAGGCAUGUGGGUUUGGAGGGCAGAUGAGGGCCAGCUGGAGAACUGUACCCCUCAGUGAGGGCCGCCACCUUGAUGGUUUUUAAUGGAUAAUGGGGUUGACCUCUUUGUUCCUUCCACAUGUUUUUAUGUUUGACCAUUUGCUCAGCUGAGCUUGUCUUAAUAAUUGGAUUCAUGGUUAAUGAGCCCCACAUGGGAGAGAGGGCGGUCUUCAUUCUGAACCCAUUUAGGCAGCAUGGGCAGCCCUCCUCGCCGUGGGCGGCAUCAGAGCCCCCCCGCCCAGUCUUGGGGUUGCUCCUGGAUGCUGUCUGGGAGGCUUGCUCAUGGUGACAUCCUCUUCUCCCCAUCCACGUUACCGCAUUCAGAGCUUGGGUCACCUGGACACUGAACUCAGUUCCUAUGGGAAUACUCUCUUUGAAGAACCCAUGAAGCAGUGUCAGGCUGGUACGAGGAUCAGCAGUGAUUUCUUUGAGGAGGAGAGCCCGUUUCUUCACUCACAGGCCAUGUCUGAGUGGAUCAAGAAGAACAGAGUGCCCUUUUAUGAGAUUUUGUCUGCGUAGACCACUAGCUUGCUCCUCCUGGAGGGAGAGAAAAGUCUCUCCUAGGUAUUUGGUUGUCAACCUCAACUGCUUGCUGAGCCUUCCCCAAGACCAGGCACCUUGGCAGAGAUUUCUGGGUUGUCAGGCAGAACCGAGCAUUCGAGGGUGAUAACUCACUGGAGUCCCUGAAAUCCCUGAUGGACGCACCAGGUAAAAGCAUCCAGGGUUGAAACCAGAUCAGGAAGGUUAUUGUCAGCCUGAGGCUCCUGUAGAGGUGCAUCCACGUUGCAGGUAUUUUCCUUCUUGCUGAGGAGAAACCUGGAUUUCUCAGCUUUGGCACAGUCACAACAUUUGGGGUGAGACCAUUCGUGGUGGUGGUGGGGGGGCAUCCUGUGUAUUGUAGGACGGUUAGCAGCAUCUGUGGUCUCCAUCCUCUAGGUGCCAUUCUACCCUCCCAGCUAUGGCUACCCCAGAUGUCUGCAGAUGGUUUCAAUGCUGUGGGGCAAGGGAGUGGUACGUGAGCAAAACCACCACAGUUGAGAGCCAUUGGUCUACACUUGUGGAAAUGUUUGAGGCUGGACUACACAGGCUGAAGUUCUCUGCCGAGAUAUAGAUAUUUCCCUGGCGAUGAUCUUUCAAGUUGACAUGAAGACAUGGCCACCCGCUGGAACGUCGUGGGUCUGCCGUGGCGCUCUUGUAAUUUGUGAGGCAGGCUCCUGAUGAAUGCAGUGAGUAAGUGGGAAAUGGUAGGAUGUUCUCCCAUCCUCCCCUUGCCGAAAGUGCUGCCUGCGCAGGUUGGUGGACGGUCCUUUGAGCAGGAAGAAGACACGGAGCACAUUCCUGUUAGCUACGACAGAGAGGGGCAGGGUACACACUGGACAUUUCAAGCCCCUGUAGAGAAGCAAGUCUUACUGUGCUGGGAGUACUUGUGGAGUGGGGGCUGUGUUGCCCUGGGCUUUAAUUAUUUCAGGAACAUUUAACCACAGGGCCAGCAGGCUGGAUCUUGAUAUGUGUUUCUCAGUUGGAAAGAUUUUGGACCAUAGAGAAAUGUCUUCUCAAUUCUUUUAAUUUCAUUAAGGUGGUCAUUUUUCUUCUUGUGGCCUCUGGAAUGUGACACAGAACUCAAGGGACAGGAAGGAGAUGAGUUGGAGGCUGGGACAGGGGUCCCUGCCAGGGAUGCUGGUGACUCACGUGACGGUGUUGAUGUGUGGAGUCCGGUGCCUGGUUUGGGGAAUUUUCGUGGGAUAUGUUCCAAAGGACUGAUGGACCUAUCAGGUACUGGAGGUGAAUGGUCAAGUCUGAUCUCAGGGCUGACAGUGUCAGGCAAGGACAGGAAGUUGGCAUUGGUCUCAUUGGCUGAGGUUGCUGGGGACCCAGGGGGCAAUGUGUGCCAGGACAGAUGGGUCUGGGGCUAGGAAGGCAGGUUUGGGCUGGCGACCCGGGCUUGGGAUGCAUCCCAGGUAGACAGUGGUUGAGGCUGUGGAAAUGACGGCGAUUGCCUGGGAUGAGAGUGGAGACAGACAAGAUGGGGGUUUUGCUUUAAGCCUGGGGAGCCCACCUCCCAGGUUCAAGCGAUUCUCCUGCCUCAGUUUCCCAAGUAGCUGGGAAUGCAGGUGCGUGCCACCA
RNA transcript from Homo sapiens (human), 2431 nucleotides. RefSeq lists it as uncharacterized. The transcript has 4 exons. NCBI's taxonomy places the organism in Eukaryota, Metazoa, Chordata, Mammalia, Primates, Hominidae. The record is from RefSeq and is a predicted model, not a curated record.